UAGAUAAUUAAUCUAACAUUUAAUCUAAUAAAAUUUAUAGUUUGACAAAAUAUAUAUAUAUAUAUAUAUAUUGUGACACACCCCGUCCCGAAGGAGGGCAUGCUGGCCGUCACGUGAGAGUGACGUAACCAUUUGCACAGUACGGAAGCUUUAAUUAUACAAUUUAUAAGUUGAUACACCCGAAGGUGAGUCCUAAUUUUGUCCAAUCUGUCAGAACCCCGCUGUAUUCCUCGUAGUCACCACACCUUUGUGAUUCCUGAACCUGGAGGGGCGCAAAACCAAAAUUGAGUGGGUCAGUAAAACAAUUCUUUUCCAAAUCCAAACAUUUCUCAAAACGUUGUAACCCCUCUCCGUAAAACCUGUAUACUUUCCCAGAAAUGUAAAAUAUAAAUAUACAUAUAUAUUCUCAAUACUUCAUUUCACUUUUUCAACAUUUUUCAUAUCAGUUAUGCCAUGCCACAUCAUCUCAACAUUUCUCAUAUUAAUUAUGCCAUGCCACAUCAUCUCAACAUUAAUAAGGUAUGAAUGCAUCAACAUAAUCAUAUCAGGUGCAAGAAAGUAAUCAACCGUAGGCCCUCUAAUAGCCCUGUACGGUUGAACCUAGAGCUCAAAAUCUAUCAUUAUCACUCUACCGGAGUCACCUCUGUGACCCGUCCGGCCUUCUGCACGCAAGUUACGCUCUAGUGCUUCUCAUAAAUCAUCUGUGCACAUUAUCUAAGGUCACCCACCAGUCGGAAUCUCACUAACACUCUCGCGACUGGUCUGUCGUACCCACUCCGCGUGGACUGUACGACUAGCAUCUACUUGGAUCCAAGGCGAGCGUGCGAUGCGGUGAAUACUAUAAGCACUAAACCAUGGUGCAGGAUUUGAGCUCAAUAUAUAUCAUCAUCAUCAUAACAGUAAUUAAAUACUCACCUGUGCGUCCACCGCACCAUUUCAUACAUAUGCAUCAUAAAUCAAUUCUUACUUGUGCGUCCACCGCACCAAUUCAUGCAUAUACCGCACCAAUUCAUACAUAUGCAUCAUAAAUCAAUUCUUACUGUGCAUCCACCGCACCAAUUCAUACAUAUGCAUCAUAUAUUAAUUCAUGCAUGGCAUUUCAACUCACAUUUCUAUAUACUUUUCAUAUCAAUUCUAUGCAUGGUAUUUCACUUCCCGUUUUUCCACAUAACUCAUAUGCAUUUCAUUUUAAACAUAUUUUCAUUUCAAUUCAAUUUCUGGGAAACGUCAAGUAUAUAUAUAUAUAUAUACGGAAAACAAAACUGCCCACUCACCUGGAGUUCGCCCUACAACUCCCUAGCACAAUACGCCAAGGCGUCAUGACGAUCGGCGCCUAAAACAAUAAUCAAUUCCAACCUCAGAAUUCAUAUCGAUAAAAUAUAUAACUUAUAUAAAAUACGUCACUACGUAAAUUGAUCCGGAAGAUCCACCCCUCAGAUUUUAAAUCCAUAACUUCCAGAGGUCCACAUUAUACCUCUAGGACAACAUCCUAAAAUUUCAUUACCAUCCAACGGUCGGAUCUCCGUCAAUUUCCAAAAACUAAGUGACGGUUAACAUUUAUAUUAUGGACUUACAAUUCCAAUUCCGGAAGAUCCGCAAAUCGGAUUCCCAAUCUGUAAGUUCCAAUAAUCCUCAAAUAUUACGUAUUGCAACGUAUCAAAGUUUGGUGACGAUCCAACGGUCGGAUCGUCAAUUCACAUUUUCACCUAAAUGUGAAAAUUAUAAAACGUUAUUUGAACACCUAACCAACAAUCCUCAAUAACUUUCUCAUACGGUGUUCAAUUUAGGUAUAUGAAUAUACCACAGUGAUCUACUCGACGUCACGGACGUCGACAUAUUUUUAAAAUAAUUUUAUUUUUAUUUUUUAUUUUUACUGUAGCACCUUCUUCUUCCUUGGGUCGCCGGACUGGUUUUCCGGCGGCCGUUUUCCGGGCAGUUUUUCAAAUUGCCAUAACUUUGUCAUUUCUCAACGAAAUCAAGUGAUUCAAAAACGAAAGUUGUAGCCCUUGAAGAGACAAAGAGAAUGGUGCCUUGCACAACACCUAGUUCGCCGUAUUUUGGCCGGAAAAUGCCUCGAAAGCCUCGGAGGUCGCCGGAAACUGGGUAUUUUUCAAAUGAGUAUAACUUCUUCAAUACUCAACGAAAUUGAGUGAAACAAAAAGGAAAGUUGUAGUACUUGACGAGACGAAGAGAUAGAUACCUACCUCGACUCCUAACUCGCCAGGGAUUCGCCGGAAAAUUCCUCGAAAGCUCCGGCCAAACUUUGAACUUGUCAAUCUCCGUGUUCUUACGUCCAAAAACUUCCAACGAAGCACUCCGAGCUUCCUUGGGACCUCACUAAGCCCGCUGUGAUCUUGUUUUAGCCUAAAACGUAGUCAUUUAGAAGAUCAUGAACAGUACCAUUUCACGGGAACUUUGAAACUAGGGUUUUUCGAAGCAAAACUUACCUGAAAUUGAUGUCUACGUGAUCGUGGAAGUUCCAGGAGUCCAAAUGUGGUCUUAUCUUGGACGUUUGUUUAUGUUUUAGGUGGUUUUGGGUGAGGUUGAGCGUCGGAGAGGAAGAGAGAGAACUGAGAGUGAGAGAGAGUCGUGAGGGAAGAGAGAUAGAGAGACAAGGUACGGGAAUUGGGGAAGGUUUUGAGGGAUGUGGGGAUCCCACGUGUCCAACUCAAUCCAAAUUGUUAAAUUUUCGCCCCUUAGUCCCGUUUAAGGGCAUUUUCAUCUUUUCAUGUCCUCGGAAUUAAAAUUCCGGGACGGGCUGUGACAAUCUUCCCUCCUUAUAGAAGUUCGUCCCCGAAAUUCCAGCAACCAACUAAAUCAACCAUACUCCAACAAUAGCUUCGGGUAAAUCUUUCUCAUCCGAUUCUCUUUCUCCCACAUACUUUUCGACUGAAUGAUUUCCUUCACAAAGCUUUUACUACUUACUCUGUCUUAAUUCUCAGGACCUUCUUUUUCCAAUCCAAAGUCGUCCUUGGUUCCUUAUCAAGUCGAAUCCAAUUUAAUUCUCAAUAGUUGCACCAUAAUUCCAUGAGACGACUCUGUCACUUAGUGACAACGCAUCGAACACAAAAUACAUUAAGUACCGUUGCCCUGUCUGGGAAAAAGUUAUUACUCAGCACUGGAGUAAUUGUACUAACUUGGUACAUUGAUCAACUAUCACUUCAAAUUCGAUCAUAACCAUCCUAUGUACAAGGAAACUUGUACACAUAAUCCAAAGUAAUAUCUUUCCAUUUCCACUGCGAAACAGAAAAUAGUUAUCUCAAUCCAAAGGUUUAUCUCUUUCUGCCUCAAUCUGCUGACCAAAUAAAACUGUCGAAUGGUAUGAUAAAUCUUAUUACUUUUGGAAUAUUGCAGAAGUUGAACAGUGAACUUCGUCCAAUAUUUGCUUGCUUCAAAUCCUCAGCAUUAGGCACAUACUUUUUGUUUUCUUGUAUCCACAUACCAUUUGAUUCACGAAUCAUGUACUCAUUCUUAACUUUACUUUAGUUGGUUUCCAAUCCACAAGAAGAUAACCAUGGCAAGCGUACCAGAUAUUAAUUCUUACUGCAGUCUUCUUAUCAAGUGCUUCAGUUACAACAAUUCACGAUCGCCCUGAUCGUACAAUCAUAAUCACUAAGUAAUUCAAUCCACCCUUGUUGCCUCAUAUCAAAAUCCUUCCAAGUAAUGGAUAUUGAAGACUUUUUGGAUUCGUAAAAAAAAAAUCUUGCAUUCUUAUCAACAUAUAAUGUCUCCAUAACUUCACAGCAAGGAUGAUAAUCGUGACUUCCAAAUCACCAGUAGGGUAAUUCAUCUCAUGAGGUUCCAUUUGUCGUGAAACAUAUACAAUCACCCUAACAUUUGCAUCAACAUGCCUCCAAUACCAUUCAAGAAACAUCACUAAAAAUUUAUGAUUACCACUAUUCUCUGGGAUUACUAAAAUACGUGCAUGAGUGAGGAAAUACUUUAGUUGUUGAAUCCUUUGCUCACAAUUUCCUUCCCACUCAUACAUGACCUCUUUUCUCAACAGUCUCGUCAAUGACAAAGCAAUGACUAAAAAUUCUUUCACAACCAUCCAAAAUAGCCUGGUAAGCUAAGAAAUUCCAAAUCUCAAUUACGACUCGUGGUUGUUCCAAAUUCUCAAUUUCUGCUAUCUUUUAAGGAUUCACUUGAAUACCUUAAGAAUAUAUAACAAAUCUUAGAAUGCCACCUGAUUCAUCUAACUUUAGCAUUUGCUACACUUAGCAUACAAUCGACAUUCUUCCAAUCUUUAUUCCACCGACUUAAUACGUUUACAUGCUCUGCUCUGGCUCAGAAUAUGCCAGAAUAUCUUCAAUGAAAAUGAUAUCUAUUUAUCAAGGCAUUAUUGGAAUACUUCAUCCAAUAACUCAUAAAACAGCAUGAGUAUCCAUAUAGCCUCACCAUAGUUCAUAAAACAAUCUUAAGAACAACGUCGCUCAUAAUCUUUAAUUGGUAAUAACCAUACCUCAAUUCAAUCUUUGAAUCUUCGCAAUUACUUCUGAGCUGGUUAAAUAAACAUCAGUACAUCACCAUGGAUAACGGUUCUCAAUCGUUACCCGACUCCAUUGUCUAUAAUCAAUGAACAGUCUCAAGAUCCAUUUUCUUCCUCACCAACAAACUGGGGCUCCUCAAAAGUGUUGUACUAGGUUGAAUGAAACUUUUAUCAACCAAUUCUUUCAACUGAAUUUCCAAUUCCCUUAACUCAUCUUGAACUAAUCUCCAAUAUAAAUUUAUACCUGGCAACAAAUCAAUAAUGAACCUCAUAUCUCUGCCUGAAGGCAAUCCAGGUAUACUUUCAAGGAAGACAUCAAGAAAAGUCUAACUCUUUCGACAUUAUUCACACUACUCCAAACAACAUCAUUUAGCACCACAUGAGCUAAGUAUUUUUGACAGCCUUUCGAAAACAAUCUCUUUGCUCUCACAGCAUACAUAACAGCCUGACUCAAUCCAUUUUGCAUACUUACAAAAGUAAUCUCUGUUCAUCCAGAUCGAUGGAAAGUACUGGUUUCCCAUAACAUUUCGUCUUGUCACAAUUAUAACCAACCAAUCUAAUGGAACAGAAUUAACUGAUACAAUAUAUAUUUUAUUAUUAUUAAGCAUUCCAAAUAAGUACAUUACUAACAUAAAAUAAUCUACCGGGUUGCUUGCUUAACGAAUCCACGAAUGAGUUAUUAAUAUUACGGUCUGCAGCCCGCAAUACUGAUAAAUCAUCGUUGUCUCGAUAAGUAGGCAACCACUCUCAAAGAUAUAACAUUACUAUUUUGUCACUCAAUGCAAAAUACAUACACUCAUCUCAACUACAUUUAUUUACUACUCUCAAGGUAAUAACAUACAUAAUAAGAAAUAUAUCAGCCGAAGUCAACUAGAAUGACCAAUACGGCUGAUUCAACUCUUAUCUCAAUAAUACGUCGGCCGGAUCCACUCCGCGUGGUCGGGUACGGCCGAGCCUAUAACUCACUAAUUUCUCAUGUGUCAAUCGAAUCCACUUCUCAUGGUCUGUACAGCUGAACAUAUAACUCAUUAAAUCUCUCUGUACUCACGGUCAAUCCGACCAAACUACUAAGUCCAUAACUCUGCUGAAUCGACACUAUGAUAUCAUGGAAAAUUAUUGAGUACAACUGAUUCUAGGGACGAUUCACAAUUCUGUGUCCCCUCUGUUCACAUAAACACAUUCAUUAAUUUCACAUUUCCCAAAGUGUUAAUUUUGUACCUGCUGCACAAGGUACAUUUCCUUUACUCGAGACACCUUGUCUCAAAUAUCUGGGAUUACCAGUAUAUCCAUCACUUUUUACUCUGACCAGCGACAUUAAAACCUCAGCUGGAAGAAUUAACUCUAGCUUCACUUCUUUCGAAGCUCUGAAUCUUUCUAUAUCCUUGAUAUGACGAAUCAUUAACUUUAUCGUCAACUUCCUUGAUUCACAUUUGCAAACUCUUGCUUACUACCAUCGAUAAAUGCCGGAGGGAUAAACUUUUCCUUAAAAAAUUUUAAAUCGGCUGAUUCCUCUGGUGACAACAAUUAACAUUCCUGUUUCCACCAGGAUACAAUUUCAUACCCAAAACCAGGUAGUCGUCUCGACCCACCUGUCAGAAGGAAAUUUCCUUUAACUUGCAUAUUCCGAAACAUCUUUUCCAAUUGGUUAAUCCGUCACUUCGUUCCCUCAGGUUGAUCAUUCCAUAAGGUGAUUCAAAUUCAACUCAUAACCCGUCUUAAAAUGUCCCUUUAGACAAUAGACUGAAUCACCAUAGUAAUAGUUUCCCCCAAAACCGCUAAAUUAGGGAGACUAAGUUCCUCUAACUACGUGGUUUGCUACGAGGCGGUGUAGUUCUGACAGAAUUCACUAGAACUUCUCAAAAUGUCCAAGAUUGCAACCAUGCUCUGAUACCAACUGACACACCCCGUCCCGAAGGAGGGCAUGCUGGCCGUCACGUGAGAGUGAUGUAACCAUUUGCACAGUACGGAAGCUUUAAUUAUACAAUUUAAAGUUGAUACACCCGAAGGUGAGUCCUAAUUUUGUCCAAUCUGUCAGAACCCCGCUGUAUUCCUCGUAGUCACCACACCUUUGUGAUUCCUGAACCUGGAGGGGCGCAAAACCAAAAUUGAGUGGGUCAGUAAAACAAUUCUUUUCCAAAUCCAAACAUUUCUCAAAACGUUGUAACCCCU
This 6658-nucleotide long non-coding RNA is filed under the name Malus domestica (apple). RNAcentral's name for it is "long non-coding RNA (MDOM_LNC005310)". The record is from RNAcentral. Lineage: Eukaryota; Viridiplantae; Streptophyta; Magnoliopsida; Rosales; Rosaceae.